AUUGAACGCUGGCGGCAGGCUUAACACAUGCAAGUCGAGCGAGCGGCGGACGGGUGAGUAAUGUCUGGGAAACUGCCUGAUGGAGGGGGAUAACUACUGGAAACGGUAGCUAAUACCGCAUAACAUCCGAUGUGCCCAGAGUGGAUUAGCUAGCAGGUGGGGUAAUGGCUCACCUAGGCGACGAUCCCUAGCUGGUCUGAGAGGGUGAACAGCCACACUGGAACUGAGACACGGUCCAGACUCCUACGGGAGGCAGCAGUGGGGAAUAUUGCACAAUGGGCGAAAGCCUGAUGCAGCCAUGCCGCGUGUAUGAAGAAGGCCUUCGGGUUGUAAAGUACUUUCAGCGGGGAGGCGUUACCCAAAGAAGAAGCACCGGCUAACUACGUGCCAGCAGCCGCGGUAAUAC
RNAcentral lists this ribosomal RNA (406 nucleotides) under uncultured bacterium. RNAcentral's name for it is "partial 16S ribosomal RNA". It matches the Rfam family "Bacterial small subunit ribosomal RNA", at positions 30 to 526 of the family's 1533-position model. The record is from RNAcentral.